AGGAGGAGAAGGAGGAAGAAGCGGAGAUGAAGGAGGAAAAAAAGGUGGCAGAGAAGGAAGAUGAAGAGAAAACAAAAGAAGAGCACGAAGAAGAAGCAUAACCAGAGGAAGAGAAAUAGGCAGAGGAAAAGAAAAAUAAAGAGGAGGAGAAAGAAGAAGAAGAGGAUGAAGUUGAAAGAGAAUGAGAAAAAGAAAAGUGGAUCUAUAAUUUAGGAGAAUGAAGUUGAAUUAGGUUAAAUGGUAUGUUCCGUAAAUAAGUGAAUUCAUAAAUGAUCAAUUGGACUUCUACUUAU
This 293-nucleotide long non-coding RNA is filed under the name Brassica napus (rape). Its description in RNAcentral is "long non-coding RNA (BNAP_LNC011878)". The record is from RNAcentral. Lineage: Eukaryota; Viridiplantae; Streptophyta; Magnoliopsida; Brassicales; Brassicaceae.